GUAGGUGAACCUGCGGAGGGACCAUUACAGUAGUCACCCGGGGCGCCGCAAGGCCUCCCGGGUAACCUACCACCCUUUGUUUAUUACACUUUGUUGCUUUGGCAGGCCUGCCCUCGGGCUGCUGGCUCCGGCCGGCGAGCGCUUGCCGGAGGACCUAAACUCUGUUUGUCUAUACUGUCUGAGUACUGUAUAAUAGUUAAAACUUUCAACAACGGAUCUCUUGGUUCUG
This 229-nucleotide unclassified non-coding RNA is filed under the name rhizosphere metagenome. Its description in RNAcentral is "partial ribosomal RNA internal transcribed spacer region". The record is from RNAcentral.